This 4270-nucleotide long non-coding RNA is filed under the name Salmo salar (Atlantic salmon). Its description in RNAcentral is "lncRNA (ENSSSAG00000086319.1, ENSSSAG00000101900.1)". The record is from RNAcentral. Lineage: Eukaryota; Metazoa; Chordata; Actinopteri; Salmoniformes; Salmonidae.
UUUCAGGCAGGUAUUGAUUAUCAGAAAAUAAAUAAUAGAUCCUCAUGAAAUAAUGAAGUAGUUGCAAUUGAUUAGAACGUAUUUAUUAAGCCCUUACUCCAUAUGCAAUCAACCUUUUUCCAUAGGCCUACUCCACAGUCACAUUCAUUGUUUGUUGCCUUAAAUUUCUUGAUUUAUGGAGUGACAGGCCACUGAAGAGGCUGAUAAAAGCACAGGCGAUUUCAUUCCUCUAUAAAAAAACAAGUCAUUAUUGGGAAGCAGUGAAUCUUUGCAAUCUAAUAGUGCUCUCGGUGUUCUUCUCAAGCUUUUAAACUAAUUCGUGAUUGAUCGCUAAUUAUCGGUGACGGAGGCUCUCGAGACAGCUGUACUUCCCACCUCAAACAUCCCCCCGCCUUUUCUCUGAUUGAAAGAGCUAUAACUUUCAAACGGUCGACUCUGCUCGUUGUUUGGUUGAGUCAAUAGACUUCAAGACGUUUGAAUAAUCAUUGUGCCCUUUCCCAAUAAAGAAGGUUGUUUCACAACAAUAAAGCAUCAGGCACCCAAUAUUACCUGCUGGAUGGUGCAAUAAUGGAAAGCACUGCUAAAUAACCAAACAAUUUAGCAUGAAAUACAUCAGUAUUGCAUUGUUAUUACAAUUGAAUAUGGUUCCAUAGCCUAGGCUACUGUUGCUUCCAAGGUAAAUAUCCUAGACCUAGAAGAUCGCUCAACAUGUACCAAUAUCACAGUGAAAUGGUAAAAGAAACGACUCCUAAUUGGCUAAAUAUUGAUUGCCGUGAGUCAAAAAUGUUGGCUCAAGAACCCCUGGACUUCCCUGUCCAGGCGGCACGUGACAGGAGUUGCUCUCAAUGACCAGCGCAAUUGAUGUGAGCUAUUUGGAUGUGAAUCGCCAUUCUCCCACAAAGUAAAACAUUAAGAAUGGGUGUCCUCAAUGACAAUGAAUUUGUUUUCAGCGCUAGAUCAAUUGAGGUCUGCUUUCGUCUGCCUUGAAAUCUAUUCGCCAAUUGCAUUGCCUCGAGCCUUAGGAUAGGCUAUAAAAGUGGACUUCGUUUUUCAAGCAGUAUAAAGGCUAGCCUGCAUCAGUGAUGCUGGCAAACUCAGUUGUAGGCUAGUCUACCAUAACAAGUGACCAAAGAAUAUCUCCUGACCAUUCUCUGACAAAAUUAGGGACCAAAAGAGGACCAAACUAUGCGCUGCACUUGACGCGUAGGCUAAGCGAUAGGCUAUAUUACCAGGAACCAGAGACAGUAUCCACAGAAGCUAUGAGCGGAAGAGAGCAGCCUCACAAGAUCAUUAACACCACUUCUGGACUAUGCUGUGGACUGAGGAGAGACUGAGAGAGAGACGAGUGGAGGCAGGUCUGGGUCUGUGCUGAUAUACAGUACGCCCUGCAUCAUUUCUACAUGUACCACCAGCAGACUGAAUUAGAGCACUGCAUCAUCUCCAAUCAAUCAUCAUCCUCCCAGGCAACAAGGGACAAGGGUUGCUGCCUCCUCAUUCCGAACCAGACGUGGACCCAGUCGGUACUAGAUGUGGUGACCCCAUCUGGUGAAAAAAACCUGUGGUUACCCCAUUGGCUAACUGCAAAAACUGUGCUCACAGCAAAACAGAAAUGUGCUCAUUCCUAGUCAGUAAAAGAUAGAAAGUCGCCUGUGGGGAAUACAACCUGUAGUUACCUAGGUUACCCCAUUGGCUCACAGAAAAACUUGACCUUUUUCAAACGCAAUUUUCUUGUUGUCUGCUUGUUUUAGUCAAUUACAUAACUACAUUUAAGAAAAGUACAACAUGUCUAAAGAUGACUUUUCAACAUUACCUGCUCCUGAGCGUUCUCACUACUUAGAAAAACAUAAUAUUGUAGGCCUUCCCUCAUGCCUCUUUUCAUAACGAUGCUAACAGACACUUGAGUGAGUGAGUGCUAGCUAUCUACUGACCGGAACAUUAAGCUAGCUAAGACCAACAACACAAACAAACAGACUAUACAGCUACAAGUAGUGAGUGGAGUUACAAACAGACAGUACUAAACAAGUUAAAUGUCUUACCUGUGAUGACAUUUUUUCCACACACAAAGCUACGUGUAGCCUGAAGUGUGUGUGUGUGCACGCAAGUGUUAAACUUCAAGAACAUUGAUAAGAGGGAGUAGGCCUACUUAAACAUUGGGAGCAUUAAUAGCUGUAUGUUACAGUGACUUUUGUGUUGUUUAUGGUGAAAAUGCUAUUUAAACAUUCUGAUGAAGAUCAUUUUGUGUUGUUUAUGGUGAAAAUGCUAUUUAAACAUUCUGAUGAAGAUCAUUUUGUGUUGUUUAUGGUGAAAAUGCUAUUUAAACAUUCUGAUGUGGAUCCCUUUGUGUUGUUUAUGGUGAAAAUGCUAUUUAAACAUUCUGAUGAAGAUCAUUUUGUGUUGUUUAUGGUGAAAAUGCUAUUUAAACAUUCUGAUGUGGAUCCUUUUGUGUUGUUUAUGGUGAAAAUGCUAUUUAAACAUUCUGAUGUGGAUCCUUUUGUGUUGUUUAUGGUGAAAAUGCUAUUUAAACAUUCUGAUGUGGAUCCUUUUGUGUUGUUUAUGGUGAAAAUGCUAUUUAAACAUUCUGAUGUGGAUCCCUUUGUGUUGUUUAUGGUGAAAAUGCUAUUUAAACAUUCUGAUGAAGAUCAUUUUGUGUUGUUUAUGGUGAAAAUGCUAUUUAAACAUUCUGAUGUGGAUCCCUUUGUGUUGUUUAUGGUGAAAAUGCUAUUUAAACAUUCUGAUGAAGAUCAUUUUGUGUUGUUUAUGGUGAAAAUGCUAUUUAAACAUUCUGAUGUGGAUCCCUUUGUGUUGUUUAUGGUGAAAAUGCUAUUUAAACAUUCUGAUGUGGAUCCCUUUGUGUUGUUUAUGGUGAAAAUGCUAUUUAAACAUUCUGAUGUGGAUCCUUUUGUGUUGUUUAUGGUGCCAUUAAAAUCCUCUGAUGCAGAUUAUUUUAUGUUUCUUUCCCUUACAAUCAAAACAUAGCAUGCCUAUAACUCAAUGCACUGCUUUUUAAAUGGAAAAUUGUUUAUUUAGGGACAAAUUUGGGCAAAUUCUAAAUUGCAAUUAAGGGAUGCCAUUAAGUUAAUUCAUUAUUUUAAUCGUUUGACAGCACUAGUUUAUACUGUACCCUAGUGAGUUAGGAGAGGGGUUGACUAAUUUAAAAAAAUGACCAGUGAUUGUCGCUUUGACAGUGCAUUAUAAAACCUUUCAUUUAAACUUUUAGAUAUAAAGAUUUAUAGGCUGGAAAAAAACAAUGCCAAAAUAUCAAGUCAACCUUGAUAUUUUUGAAAAUGAUGUUUUAGUAUAAUUCUCAGAAAGGAUAAGCCUACCGAUUUAGAUGAGAUGUUGCUAUAUUGUACACUAAGUGUUCAAAACAUUAGGAACACCUGCUCUUUCCAUGACAUAGACUGACCAGGUGAAUCCAGGUGAAAUCUGUGAUCCCUUAUUGAUGUCACAUGUUAAAUCCACUUCAAUCAGUGUAGAUGAAGGGGAGAAGACAGGUUUAAGAAGGAUUAUUAAGCCUUGAGACAAUUGAGACAUGGAUUGUGUAUGUGUGCCAUCCAGAGGGUGAAUGGGCAAGACAAAAUAUUUAAGUGCCCUUGAACGGGGUAUGGUAGUAGCUGCUAGGCACACUGGUUUGAGUCAAGAACUGCAACGCUGCUGGGGAUUUCACACUCAACAGUUUCCCGUGUGUAUCAAGACGGUCCACCAUCCAAAGGACAUCCAGCCAACCAAUGAAUUGAGGCUGUUCUGCGGGUGCAACUCAAUAUUAGGAAGGUGUUCCUAAUGUUUUGUACACUCAUUGUAUACCAAACCUAGCUUGGUUUCUCAGGUUCUAUGUGGGGGAGUUUUUUAAUACAUAUCUUACAGGAAACCACCUAUUUAUAAUGAUAGAAUUGUAUGUCUUUCUCUUUUAAGUGUAUACUUGUUCAGAAUAUCUCAGAUUGAUGAUGUACUGCAUGUAAACAAAAACAUUUACAAUUGCAUUUGCAACAUUGCUGUUUUCCAACAAUAAAGAUUCCGAAACCUGUCUUUCUGUUGUUGUUGUUUAAAGUUAUUCUGACAUUUUCUGACUUGAAAAUGGAAACGCUUAGGAAUGGGAAUGGAAAUCAUACUUAUUGUUUUAAUCUAUGAGACUAUGACAAUUAUUUCACAAUAAAUACAGUAGAACACCAGUGGUAAUAGGGUUGGAAAAUAAAAUGUGAACUAUCCCUUUAAGUUAACACACAUAAUAUCAGCAAAACCUCCAAAAGGAUCCUGUUCACACACAUCGCAA